RNAcentral lists this long non-coding RNA (760 nucleotides) under Canis lupus familiaris (dog). RNAcentral describes it as "lncRNA (ENSCAFG00000056376.1)". The record is from RNAcentral. Lineage: Eukaryota; Metazoa; Chordata; Mammalia; Carnivora; Canidae.
CAACAUUUCAAUUAGGCAGCUCUUCUGAAAUUAGAGGUUAUGAAAGUACACAUUUCUAGGUGUGGAAAACACCAUCUGUCAAGGAGUCCCGAGCCGUUUGGCGUUCUGAGGCAGGGACAUUGCGGGGCUCAGGCCUUGCAGGCUUUAGCUGAGACGUAUCCAGUGACCAUCACCACACCGGGUGAGCGAGUGGCUUCCUGCAAGGCCAUAAUAUCAGAGUCUGUGGCCAGGGCAGUGAUUAAUGACCUUAUUUGCAGAAAGAAACCCUCAGGGAGAAGCCAAGUGCCAAGGAGAGAGGCUGGCGAGGCCCUCCCCAACAGACUGAGAAGGGCAAGAGGGAUGUGGACAGCCACCAAGAAAGCAGAUGGAGAAAACACUACAAUGAACCCUCAUGUACUAAACACCAAGCUUCAUUAUAUAAGAUGGUUAAUCCCGUUUCACACCUAAACAAUUCCCCACUUUCUGUCCAGCUUCCAGACAUCAUGUCAUCUCAUCCAAGGGUAUGUAUUCUGGGAAGUUAAGAACUCUCUUUUUUAUUUUUUAAAAAGGUUUUAUUUAUUUAUUCAUGAGAGAUCCAGAGAGAGAGAGGCAGAAACACAGGCAGAGGGAGAAGCAGGCAGGCUCCAUGCAGGGAGCCCGACAUGGAACUCGAUCCUGGGACUCCAGGAUCACACCCUGGGCUGAAGGCAGGCGCCAAACCGCUGAGCCACCCAAGGAUCCCCAUCAAACUUAAGAUUAUAAAAUGUUCACUAAAUUUUUU